AGAGUUUGAUCCUGGCUCAGGACGAACGCUGACGGUGUGCUUUAGGCAUGCAAGUCGAACGAGAAAGCCCUUCGGGGUGAGUAAAGUGGCGAACGGGUGAGUAACACGUGGGCAACCUGCCCCUCGCAGGGGGACAACCGGAGGAAACUCCGGCUAAUACCCCGUACGCUCCACGCAUCGCAUGUUGUGUGGAGGAAAGGUAGCCUCGGCUAUCCGGCGAGGGAUGGGCCCGCGGUGCAUUAGCUAGUUGGUGGGGUAACGGCCCACCAAGGCGACGAUGCGUAGCUGGUCUGAGAGGAUGAUCAGCCACACUGGGACUGAGACACGGCCCAGACUCCUACGGGAGGCAGCAGCCAGGAAUCUUGGGCAAUGGGCGAAAGCCUGACCCAGCAACACCGUGUGGGCGAUGAAGGCCUUAGGGUCGUAAAGCCCUGUUGAUAGGGACGAAGGGCGAAGGGUUAAUAGCCCCUAGCUUGACGGUACCUUUCGAGGAAGCCCCGGCUAACUACGUGCCAGCAGCCGCGGUAAUACGUAGGGGGCGAGCGUUGUCCGGAAUUAUUGGGCGUAAAGAGCGUGUAGGCGGUUCGGUAAGUCUGUCGUGAAAUCCUGAGGCUCAACCUUGGGCGUGCGAUGGAUACUGCCGGGCUAGAGGGUGGUAGAGGCGAGUGGAAUUCCCGGUGUAGCGGUGAAAUGCGCAGAUAUCGGGAGGAACACCAGUAGCGAAGGCGGCUCGCUGGGCCACACCUGACGCUGAGACGCGAAAGCUAGGGGAGCGAACAGGAUUAGAUACCCCAGUAGUCC
Molecule: ribosomal RNA, 801 nt
Filed under: uncultured bacterium
Lineage: Bacteria
Description: bacterial SSU rRNA
Rfam family: Bacterial small subunit ribosomal RNA
Source: RNAcentral